GUGAAUCAUCAAAUCUUUGAACGCAAAUUGCACUCUCCUCGGAGAGUAUGCCUGUUUGAGGGUCAGCCUAUAAAAAUCGACAUCGUUGCUGUUUCGCGGUGGCGUUCGUCGGAAAUUGGGUCAUCUUAAAUCCUUUUGAUUUAAGCGACUUAAAAUUUUCUUUUGGUCCCAUGAACGUUUCUAAGAUCUAUUUCUUUACACGUUUAAGGUAUCGAAUGUCUUAUUAGACGUGGCCGUCAUAUCGUAUCGUGUCCAUAAUUUUUUUCGUUAACUGACCUCAGACAGGUAAGAGUACCCG
Molecule: unclassified non-coding RNA, 298 nt
Filed under: Glomeraceae sp.
Lineage: Eukaryota; Fungi; Glomeromycota; Glomeromycetes; Glomerales; Glomeraceae
Description: partial contains 5.8S ribosomal RNA and internal transcribed spacer 2
Rfam family: 5.8S ribosomal RNA (bases 1-65)
Source: RNAcentral